CCUACGGGAGGCAGCAGUGGGGAAUAUUGCACAAUGGGGGAAACCCUGAUGCAGCGACGCCGCGUGAGUGAAGAAGUCUUUCGGUAUGUAAAGCUCUAUCAGCAGGGAAGAAAUAGCGACCUUUGGGUCGCCAGCCGGUCCCUGACUAAGAAGCCCCGGCUAACUCCUUACCAGCAGCCGCGGUAAUACGUAGGGGGCAGACGUGAGCCGUAUUUAAUGGGUUUAAAGGGGUCGUAGACGGCAGCACAAGUCUGAAGUGAAAUGUCGGGGCUUAACCCCGGAACUGCUUUGGAAACUGUGCAGCUAGAGUGCAGGAGAGGUAAGUGGAAUUCCUAGUGUAGCGGUGAAAUGCGUAGAUAUUAGGAGGAACACCAGUGGCGAAGGCGGCUUACUGGACUGUAACUGACGUUGAGGCUCGAAAGCGUGGGGAGCAAACAGGAUUAGAUACCCCUGUAGUC
Molecule: ribosomal RNA, 458 nt
Filed under: uncultured bacterium
Lineage: Bacteria
Description: partial 16S ribosomal RNA
Rfam family: Bacterial small subunit ribosomal RNA
Source: RNAcentral